This 156-nucleotide ribosomal RNA is filed under the name Triticum aestivum (bread wheat). RNAcentral describes it as "rRNA 5_8S_rRNA". It matches the Rfam family "5.8S ribosomal RNA". Rfam says of the family: 5.8S ribosomal RNA (5.8S rRNA) is a component of the large subunit of the eukaryotic ribosome. It is transcribed by RNA polymerase I as part of the 45S precursor that also contains 18S and 28S rRNA. Functionally, it is thought that 5.8S rRNA may be involved in ribosome translocation. The record is from RNAcentral. Lineage: Eukaryota; Viridiplantae; Streptophyta; Magnoliopsida; Poales; Poaceae.
GACUCUCAGCAACGGUUAUCUUGGCUCUCGCAUCGAUGAAGAACGUAGCAAAAUGCGAUACCUGGUGUGAAUUGCAGAAUCCCGCGAACCAUCGAGUCUUUGAACGCAAGUUGCGCCCGAGGCUACUCGGCCGAGGGCACGCCUGCCUGGGCGUCA